GAAAAGACAGGAGAUUCCAGUCCUUCUGCAGAGGCUUUCUCCAAGCCCCCAGUACACUCAGCACCUCCCCCAGCCCUUGGUGGCUGGGGACCUGGCCUGGCUCUUGGGCAGCUGCUGGCAGCAAGGAGCAGAGACAUUUAGCCUUCAGCGGGGCCCGGGGCCAGACUUCGACCAAGAGGACAUCAGAGGACAUAGCCUCAGAGAGACCAAGCCCCAGACAGCCUGAGACAGACCAACUGAAACACAGCGCCAGGCCCGUGGAAGGAGAAAAGGAAAUGGAGGAUGAGAAUAAGCAGAAAAAAGGGAAGAAUUAAAGAAAAGAAGGAAAGCAAGAGGAAAAGAGAUAGGAGAGCAGGGAAAGGAAGGCAUGCAGAGACCAAGGAGGAGGAAGGGCAGCAAUACGCAGGAAGGACGCAACGGGGCAGGGCUUGAGCUGGUGCUGGCGGAGCAGAGCAGCCGUGGCAUUGUGCAGUCUGCUUGCUUGCUGGGCCUUUGCCGAGGGACCAGCUCUGGGGCGCGGCAGCCACUUCUGUCUGGACACAAAGGAGGAAGAGGCCUCCUUUCCUGUCCCUCUUGGGGACCUGGCUCUGGUGGGUAUACUAGGCCUCUGGGACACAGAAUCCUACAUUGGCCCAAGCAACCGCCUAGGCAGCAGGGGACUGAACAUGCUCUAGUCAAGAAGCAGCGAAGAAACAGAAGAGGAAAGAGGUUUUUUGCGUCUUUACCAGGUUACAGGGCCUGUCUGCCUCAAUCUCAGCUUCCCUAGAGGAAAGAGUCCUUAAGGAUCCUCUCCUAUGGGCCUCUGCUAUUUGGGAGAGCCCCUCCAAUAGACUUGGUGGCUGUAAAGAGAUGUCUCUUCUCUCCUAUCCCCUUUGAACACGGCCUUCUUUUCAACUCCUGAGCUCCCUGUGAACCAGGCCUGCUACCCUGCGGAGGCACAGCAGCCAGGCUGUCAGGAUCACUGUCCAGGGAUCCCUGUUGCCAUCAAAUCCUCCAGGAAACAAACCAAGAGGGAAUUGCAGCCUUCCCUUCCUUUUGGAAGCAGGAACUCUGGACUCUCCCCACUCAGGCACAGGCACAGCUGUGGAUCAUGAAGCAGGCCUUGUCCACAGAGCCCUCCUGGCCAAUGCCUCAUUUCCCCCAUGCCUCACAGAGAGGGGCAGCUGUGAGGAGGGGGCCUUACAGAGCCUGGGAGACCCCUGGAGAGCCUGGUCCACUAGGCCCAGGUCCUACAGGUUCCAGAACUGCAUGUGGGCUGUAGCCUCCAUUCUCCACAUUUGAAAGCAGAAUGGCAGGUCAGGGGUCUGAAGCAGGCUUUCAGGCUUCCCCUAAAUCCAGGCUUGUUAGGUGUGGGAGCAAAAGGAUGGGGGGGCAAAAGGGAGAAUCUCAUCUUCUUGGAGUUCAGUUACUCCUGCUGGAUCUCCUACCAUACUCCAGGACUCAUCUUCACCACUUCUUCAAUUUUCCUUAGCACUCCUGGGGAACCUGAGGGACCUGAGGCGCUGGGAGUCCCUGUUGGGAGGCGGGGAAACUCCAGCUCUGGCUAGCAGCUCUGUACUGCUCUGCUUCUUAGCGGUCCCCUCCCACGCCCAGAGGAUUUCACUGGGCACCGGAGAGUCCGCUAAGGGGGAGUGGCACCUUUCCUGCAUCACCUCAAACCUGGACAGCUGAGACCACAAUCAAGCUAGCAUCGCGGGAAGGACAGACAGAAAGACAGUUAAGGCCUGCGCUGGAAGCAGAAACUGAGUUUUCCUGCCCUGCCGCGAGAAGACCCACGUCCUGCCCCCACCCCAGGUGGGUAUCCCGGAUCCCUGCACACUAGGAGUCAGGCCCCCAAACCCAGCAGGAGUGAAACCCCCUGGGCCUGUGAACGUGGCCCUCUCAACGCCACGGCCUGCCGGGCCUGCCUUUCCGCCGGAGCCCCCGCCCUGCCGCUCCGCAGCAAACGGGGCUAUUUCCGGCUCCCCCAACACGGUCUGGUUUCCCAGCCCGGGGAGUGGCUGAAGGGGGAGCCGCCCCAGAGCUAGGGCUGCUCUCUCCCCGGAGUUUCAAUGGCCCUGAGCACGCUGUUACCUGAUCUUUUGUGUGAUGUAUGUGUCGCAAGGAAAUUUGCAGUGACUUUGGAGCCCAGACUGAGGAAGCCGAGGUGGCGAAAGGAGAGACAAUACGGUCCCGAAGUACAAUUAAGGAGCCAGAGCUGCUCCUCUCUCCCCCGCCCUCCUUGCCAGACUGCGAGCUGUCUGGUCUCCAACCUCUGGGCGACUCGCGAACCUGGAGCCAGAAACUCAGCCCGAGGCGGAGGGCGCCAGAGGACUCCGCACCCAGAAAACCAGGAGGGAAGCUGCCUUCCAACCUGGGGGGCACCGUAACCAGCCCCGCUGAGAUGCAGCGAAUCCAAUGAAUGAAUGUGCACAUUCCGACGACGAAUUUUCCCGAAUUUUCUCAGCCUUUGGAAGGAGAGCCCAGGGUUUGGGACAUCUCAGACAGACAGUCAGACAGACAGGCAAACCGCAUCUCCUGAGGCAGACAGGCUCACAACAUGAGUGUGAGCCUGAAAUCAUAUACAGGUUCAACAUUCCCGAGGCCUCUUUGCCCGGCCUGGCGGGCGCCGAUCUCUCCUACCUUCACUCCUGCCAGGGCCUCAGGCAGAGACCCAUAGGACUCGGUCCCGCUGGCUCGGUCCAGGUCCCGCCUCGGGAAGCGCCUUCGUUACCUGCUCCUCGGCUCCCCACGGCCACAGAUGCAGGGCAGCCGCCUCCGCCCGGGGAGGGAAGCCCUGGCCACCACCGCAGCCGCCGCCACCCGCCCUCCUUCCCUCCCUCCCUCCUUCUUGCCCUCCCUCCCUCGCUCCCUCCCUCGCGCGCUGCCGCUUGCGGGGCCCUCCCGCGGGCAACCUGCUCUGGACCAAAUCCAGGUAUCUCCAAAAGAGAGAAAAAAAGAGAGGACUUCUUAGGUGGAAAAGGACAAAAACAAAAAAGAAAGACCUUUCAUUGCAUUUAUUUUUCAUGCUCUGACCAGUGGUCGGCCUCAGUUCAAAUGUCUGGGACACAGCCCAGCAACCGCAGAGGUGUGCAGGGCCUGCUGCCUCACCCACGCCGCCGACCGCCCCGCGCCCUGCGCGCUGCACGCUCCACAAGCUGGGCCGCCGCCCCCAGCAUUCCAAACACCCAACAGACCUCAAGGUCCAUCCUACAGACUCAACAUCCGGUUGCCCGCCUCUGCGCUGACCACAACCCUGGAGCCCUCUGCUCCGUCUGGGGGCAAAGUCGACACACAAAGCACCUUGUCUGUGCUCUGGAGCCCAGCCUGGACCCCCUCUGGGUGAAGCCGCCCGCCGGGCUACACUUGGGCUGCGUUCCUGCUGGGGACUUCCAACCUCAUCCCCUGCUUGGGACCUACACAAAGCCCAGUGCUCUGGCCUUUCCUACCCAUAGCCUCCCUUCGCCAGUUGUCGCCUUCCCCUUCACCUGUUCCCAAGAAGGGCUUCAUCUCCAAGCGAGCAGAGCCAAGGCCGAUGGCCGGAGCGAGGUCCCAGGGAGGCCACAGCGGAUCAGCCGGGCUAAGCUGGAGGCCCUGCAGCCGCUGAGAUAUCUGAGAGACCAAGCCUCUCCUUGGCGAGCUCUAGGCUUUUCCUCCUUCUCCUGCAAGUCUCAAACACUCACACGCCGCCGAGAGUUCAGCUCUAUAAAUCCUGCUCCUCUUUCCCAUAUCAUAAUUAAAAAAAACCAGUAGGGGAGGUUUUAACUUUUAUUGCGAUUUCUAGAGUUGGGCUGCGGAGCAUAUAUUAAGUUUACGCUUAUGCGCUCCCGGCGGGGAGGGUCCUUUAAGAAAUAAAAAUCCAUCUUAAUAUCUGC
Molecule: long non-coding RNA, 3854 nt
Organism: Heterocephalus glaber (naked mole-rat)
Lineage: Eukaryota; Metazoa; Chordata; Mammalia; Rodentia; Bathyergidae
Source: Ensembl